GAUGAACGCUGGCGGCGUGCCUAAUACAUGCAAGUCGAGCGAACGGACGAGAAGCUUGCUUCUCUGAUGUUAGCGGCGGACGGGUGAGUAACACGUGGAUAACCUACCUAUAAGACUGGGAUAACUUCGGGAAACCGUAGCUAAUACCGGAUAAUAUUUUGAACCGCAUGGUUCAAAAGUGAAAGACGGUCUUGCUGUCACUUAUAGAUGGAUCCGCGCUGCAUUAGCUAGUUGGUAAGGUAACGGCUUACCAAGGCAACGAUGCAUAGCCGACCUGAAAGGGAGAUCGGCCACACUGGAACUGAGACACGGUCCAGACUCCUACGGGAGGCACCAGUAGGGAAUCUUCCGCAAUGGGCGAAAGCAUGACGGAGCAACGCCGAUCCAGUUAUGAAGGGCUGCGGAUCGUAGAACUCUGUUAUAAGGGAAGAACGUAUGUGUAAGUAACUGUGCACUUAAUGACGGUACCUAAUCAGAAAGCAACGGCUAACUACGUG
RNAcentral lists this ribosomal RNA (497 nucleotides) under uncultured bacterium. RNAcentral's name for it is "partial 16S ribosomal RNA". It matches the Rfam family "Bacterial small subunit ribosomal RNA", at positions 28 to 507 of the family's 1533-position model. The record is from RNAcentral.